Amphibalanus amphitrite is the source of this 780-nucleotide long non-coding RNA. RefSeq lists it as uncharacterized. NCBI's taxonomy places the organism in Eukaryota, Metazoa, Arthropoda, Thecostraca, Balanomorpha, Balanidae. The record is from RefSeq and is a predicted model, not a curated record. The transcript has 4 exons.
GCACCUAUCAAAACCUUGAUGAAAAUAACAAACCGAAAAUCUGAGAAACGCGAUUUGACCUUGGACGUGCCCCGUGCCAGUGCACUGGCCUUAGGGGUGCUGAAGAACUUGAUUUGGAGAGCUUGACGCUGCUGCGAGCACCACAGGGCUACUAGCGGUACGUCACGUGCUGCUGGUUUUCUAGAGACGGAUGUUUGCUGAUAUUAGGCUGUUAAGACUGAGCCGUGAUGCAGUGGCCGGUGGGAGUGCCGGCGCCGGUCGUGGUGGACCCGACGCCCAGCGCUCCGCUUCGCGCUGCUACCACACAGGUCUCUGAAUGGAGCUGCGUUCCGGUGGGCGGCUGGCUGCGCUCUCUCGGUCUGGCCCAGUACGCCGACGCGUUCGUCGCCCGCUCUGUGGAUGGCGCCCGGCUUCUGGGGCUCACCGAACAGGCUAUGGAAGACGAGCCCGACGUCGGUCUCGACGUGGCGACCUCGGAGCCAGCGUGUUGGGUCUCGGCUUCCCGCCACUCACCGGCGGACCUUUCCGCUUCGUGGACCGCAUCGGUCCCGCACAGCUAGUCAAGGACAUGGAGCGCUUCGCCGUCGUCAAUGGCGUCGGCUUCGAGCCGUGCCUGACCUUGCACAACCAGGCCGCUAGCGGCACCAAGUUCUGUUCGGCCGGGCCUCGUGUAAUGCCCACAUGUGAUGACCGAGUGUAUACGCAUGUGAAGCCGCUCCGCGUGUGUACCAGCGCUGGGCGUGUUCAGUUUCAAAGUAAAUAUAGAACCCUGGUGAUCAA